GGAGUUCUGAAUCACACAAGGAUAGCGCGUAUUUGCGCAUUUUCGAGAUUAGCUAAAGCUAGAUGUAAAACAAAACUCAAGUCGUAAACAAAAGGGACUCCUGAGUAAAUAAAGGGGGCGCAGCCCCUGGAGUCCGGAGGAGGCGCCACGGCAGGAGGGGGACGCGCGCGACCAGGGGGAGGGCCGUGGCUCCCAACCCUAGGCGCCCCACCUGGGCUGCCCUGUUGGGCCAUCUUCUUAUUCCGCUGGGCCUUCGUUCCUUAACAGCAUGAUGAAGUUUAAUUCUCUCGCACGAGCUCGAGUGAUUGGCCCAACUGGAUGAUCAACUAUAGGCGCCUGAGGUGGAGGAGCAACUGGAGGCGCCUGAGGUGCUGCUGGUGUAGAUGUACUCGUGGUGUCCUCAUCAUCCUCCCCUUCUUGAACUGAAGUCGUCCUCGACGGCAACUCCUCAUCUUCGCCCACAUACGGUUUCAAAUCUGCAACAUUAAAACUCGUGGAAACACCAAACUCCGCAGGCAAGUCAAGGAUAUAAGCAUUAUCAUUAAUCUUGGUUAGCACUUUAUAAAAACCAGCAGCACGUGGCAUCAAUUUAGAACGACGUAAAGUAGGAAAAUUAUCCUUUCUCAAAUGCAACCAAACCAGAUCACCCGGUUCAAAAGUAACAUGUUUUCUCCCUUUACUACCCGCAACCUGAUAUUUAGCAUUAGCAGCAGCAAUGUUUUGUUGAGUUUGCUCAUGCAAGCUAAUCAUUUGAUCAACAUGUGCAGUGCCAUCUAUGUGUGGGACGUCCUCGGCAUCAAGCGCAAACAAAUCAAUAGGCGCCUGAGGAAUAUAACCAUAAACAACCUGAAAGGGACACAUCUUUGUAGAAGAAUGCGUUGCAUGAUUAUACACAAACUCAACAUGAGGCAAGCAAUCUUCCCAACGUUUCAAGUGUUUAUCUAAAACAGCCCUAAGCAUGGUGGACAAGGUUCGAUUAACCACCUCAGUUUGUCCAUCAGUCUGAGGGUGACAAGUGGUGCUAAACAGCAAUUUAGUUCCCAUUUUAUUCCACAGUGAUCUCCAAAAAUGACUGAGAAACUUAGCAUCACGAUCAGAGACUAUUGUAUUUGGAAUACCAUGCAAACGAAUAAUCUCAUGAAAGAACAAUUCAGCAACAUUGCUAGCAUCAUCAGUCUUAUGACAAGGUAUAAAAUGAGCCAUUUUGGAGAAACGAUCAACAACCACAAAAAUACUGUCCCUCCCCUUCUUAGUUCUAGGCAAUCCCAAAACAAAGUCCAUAGAAAUAUCAAGCCAAGGGGAAGUAGGAACAGGCAAAGGCAUGUACAAACCAUGGUUGUUCAAUCGUGACUUAGCUUUCUGGCAAGUAGUGCAGCGUGCAACAAGACGCUCAACAUCAGCACGCAUCCGGGGCUAAAAGAAGUGGGCAGCCAGCACUUCAUGUGUCUUGUAGAUGCCAAAGUGCCCCAUGAGACCACCUCCAUGCGCUUCCUGUAACAACAAACGACGAACCGAGCUAGCUGGAACACACAGCUUGUUAGCGCGAAACAGGAACCCGUCCUGUAUGUGAAAUUUGCCCCAUGGUUUGCCAUGAAUACAGUGGGCGAAAGCAUCUUUAAAAUCAGCAUCAUCCACAUAUUGAUCCUUCACAGUUUGCAAGCCAAAGAUUUUAAAAUCUAACUGUGACAGCAUGGUAUAGCGAUGAGACAAAGCAUCAGCAAUGACAUUUUCCUUCCCGCUCUUGUGUUUAAUAAUGUAAGGGAAAGACUCAAUGAAUUCUACCCAUUUAGCAUGACGACGGUUCAGGUUUGUUUGGGUACGAUAUGUUUUAAAGCCUCAUGAUCAGAAUGAAUUAUAAACUCGCGAUGCCAAAGGUAGUGCUGCCAAGUAUGCAAAGUUCGCACUAAAGCAUAAAGCUCCUUAUCAUAAGUAGAAUAAUUCAAGCUAGCACCACUUAAUUUCUCGCUAAAGUAAGCAACCGGUUUUCCUUCUUGUAACAAAACAGCACCUAGCCCAAUACCGCUAGCAUCGCAUUCAAGCUCAAAUACUUUAGUAAAAUCAGGCAACUGCAAGAGAGGAGCAUUGGUUAACUUAUCUUUCAAGGUGCUGAACGCAACCUCUUACGAAUCACUCCAAGCAAAGGGAACAUCCUUCUUUGUAAGCUCAUGUAGAGACGCUGCAAUGGAGCUAAAAUCACGAACAAACCUGCGGUAGAAACCGGCAAGGCCAAGAAAGCUUCGAAUUUGUGUGACCGUCGUCGGUGUAGGCCACACCCGAAUGGUAUCGAUCUUGUUGCUAUCCACCUCAAUGCCUUGUGGAGUAACAACAUAGCCAAGAAACGAGACACGUUGUGUGCAAAACAUGCAUUUUUCAAGGUUAGCAAAUAAAUGGGCCGCACGCAACGCAUCAAAAAUAGCACGCAAAUGAUCUAAAUGCUCUUGCAUAGACUUGCUGUAAAUAAGGAUAUCAUCAAAAUAGACAACUACAAACAAUCCUAUGAAGGGCCUCAGAACUUCAUUCAUCAAACGCAUAAAUGUGCUGGGAGCAUUUGUCAAACCAAACGGCAUAACCAACCAUUCAUAUAACCCAAAUUUUGUUUUAAAAGCCAUUUUCCAUUCAACACCUAAUUUCAUUCGAAUCUGAUGGUAGCCACUACGCAAAUCAAUCUUAGUGAAAAUAAUGGCACCACUAAGCUCAUCUAGCAUAUCAUCAAGGCGUGGUAUAGUGGUAAUGUUAUUAAUAGCAGGACAGUCUACACACAUACGCCAUGAGCCAUCUUUCUCUGGAACAAGUAACACGGGAACGGAGAAAGGGCUAAGAGACUCACGAAUAUAACCCUUGUCAAGCAACGCCUGUACCUAGCGCUGGAUUUCCUUCCUCUCAUCCGGAUUUGUACGGUACGGUGCGCAGUUCGGAAGCUGGGCGCCGGGAAUGAGGUCGAUCUGGUGCUCAAUGCCACGAAGUGGUGGGAGUCCCGGUGGCAAAUCUUUUGGAAAGACAUCAGCGUACUCCUGCAAAAUGUUAGCAACCGCAGGGGGAAUAUCCAGAGAUGGUGCAUCAUCAAGUGAAACGAGCACACUAGAGCAUAUAAGGGCAUAGCAUGGCAAAGGAGCAUCGCGUAACUCAUCAAAAUCAGCACGUGUAGCAAGCAAAACAGGAGCAUUCAACUUGAUUUCAGAAUUAACAGAGGUCGAUGGUUCAAGUUGUUUAGCAGUUUUAGCAGCUCUAGCAAGAUCAUCUUUAAGAAUUUGUUCAGGUGUCAUUGAAUGUAUAAUUAUUUUCUGACCCUUAAACAUGAAAGAAUAGUGAUUUGAACGACCAUGAUGCAAGCUAUCAGUAUCAUAUUGCCAAGGUCGCCCAAGUAACAGAGAGCAUGCUUCCAUGGGAAUAACAUCACAAUCGACAAAAUCAGAAUAAGCACCCAUGGAGAAAGGAACAUGGACUGAUCGAGUAAUUCUAAUUUUCCCACCAUCAUUAAGCCAUUGAAUGUGAUAUGGAUUUUGAUGCUUACAAGUGGGUAAAGACAACUUUUCAACCAGCGUGGUACUCGCCAAAUUGUUGCAGCUGCCGCUGUCGAUGAUGAUGCGAAUCGACCGCUCCUGCACAACACCCUUGGUAUGGAAAAGAGUGUGUCGCUGAUUCUUCUCGGACGGAGCGACCUGUGUACUAAGAACACGCUGCACAACAAGACUUUCAUACCUAUCGGCGUCGCCCGGGUUGACAUGGACCUCCAUAGCUGCAUGGUCAGUGGCAAGCAUCGCAUGUUGAGUAUCUUCAAAAUCACUAGCGGAAGAGUACUCACCAUCAUCACGAAGAAAUAAAAUGCGCUUGUUCGGACAGUCCUGAAACACGUGGCCAAAUCCUUUGCAACGAUGACACUGAAUAUCCCGUGUACGGCCUGUGGGAGGGGCGGCGCCUGUGGAAGGGGCAACGCUUGCAGGUUUGGCCGUUCUCUCGCGCGGUGUAGUGGUGGGCGUGGGUGGCGCAGGGAGAGCGGGUGCGGAGUUGGAUGUCGAGCUUCUUCCUGCAAAAGAGUUAGAAUAUGUCUUCGAGCGGCGUCCCUGCACUUCAUGUUCAGCUUUGCAAGCAUAUUCAAAUAAUGUUGUCAUAUCAGUGUAGUCCUUAUAAUCAAGUAUAUCCUGAAUUUCGCAGUUCAAACCACCACGAAAAUGUGCCAUAGCAGCGUCGUUUUCCUCCAAUAACCCACAACGAAUCAUGCCUAUUUGUAAUUCCUGGAAAUAUUCCUCAACAGAUUUGAAACCUUGCUGAAAACGUUGCAUUUUAUUAAGCAAAUCUUGGGCAUAAUAAGAAGGCACAAAUCUGUGGCGCAUAUUUUUUUUUCUUUUCUUUUUUUUCAGGGGGCCCCAAAACGGAGAAAUAGGGGUAAAAUGACUCGAAAACAGCAAGGCACCACACACACUUUUACCCGAAGUACAGAGGUAUUUUGGUAAAAAAAAGAUGGUGCGCGCGGCGUACCCGCGUGAUCGGAUCGGUGUCCGUCUCCCGUGCGGACUGGUCUCUUUCUUUCUUUUUUUUUGUUGGUUGUUGUCUUUCCUUUUUUUUUUGACUUGCCAAACACAUAAGGCAGGGCGGAGAAGGUGAUCAGGGGAAUACGGCGCGGCUGCCUCGCGAUUCGGGAAAGGGCGGCGGUGUGCUACGGUUCAAGACAACGGAAGGGAAAAAUAAAAGAUGAAAAAAACACAAAGUAACCAGCAACAAUUGAUUCGGAAAGCACACAAAUUCAACAAUGCAAAUUAUUGAAAGAAGGUGCAAGGCUCAAAAAGGGUUGCUGGGACAGAGAUCUAACCUGAAAAGAAAUUUUUGUUUGGUUUUUGUGGACUGUAGGAAGGGGAAAAACACUCGAUAAACUCACCAAUCAACCUGGAAAACUGAUACCACUUGAUAGAGUCGGAGUGCCCGAUCUUUCGGUGAGUGGAGAUAAAUUCGACUUGGUGAAAGUAGACCCUCACGAUCUGACUACAACGAGCAAACCCGAAGCGCCAAUGCAAUCGCUGAACCAACUUCCUGUGGUUACCAACCUUGCCAGCGCAAGAUCAGCUUGAUCACGAAGAUCGAUUCCUGUCCGCAAUCGAAGAACGAACAAGAAAAAGAGGCAAGCAAUCUAAAUAUCACUCGAAGGUGGAGUUUUGAAUCACACAAGGACAGCGCGUAUUUGUGCGUGUUCGAGAGUAGCUAAAGCUAGAUGUAAAACAAAACUCAAGUCGUAAACAAAAGGGACUCCUGACUAAAUAAAGGGGGUGCAGCCCCUGGAGUCCGGAGGAGGCGCCACGGCAGGAGGGGGGCGCGCGCGACCAGGGGGAGGGCCGCGGCUCCCAACCCUAGGCGCCCCACCUGGGCUGCCCUGUUGGGCCAUCUUCUUAUUCCGCUGGGCCUUCGUUCCUUAACAGCAUGAUGAAGUUUAAUUCUCU
RNAcentral lists this long non-coding RNA (5429 nucleotides) under Setaria viridis. RNAcentral describes it as "long non-coding RNA (SVIR_LNC003232)". The record is from RNAcentral. Lineage: Eukaryota; Viridiplantae; Streptophyta; Magnoliopsida; Poales; Poaceae.